Long non-coding RNA from Dreissena polymorpha, 597 nucleotides. RefSeq lists it as uncharacterized. The record is from RefSeq and is a predicted model, not a curated record. NCBI's taxonomy places the organism in Eukaryota, Metazoa, Mollusca, Bivalvia, Myida, Dreissenidae. The transcript has 5 exons.
GAGCGAACGGUUCCGGUACUAUGCAGCGGCCAGCAGGUUUACUGGCUCGUGGGCGUCGCUCCAUUCUCCCGUCUCCGGGAUUCAAGGUUAUUGAAACUGCGUUUGCACUGGACGAAUCAUUCAUGAAACAAUUCUACAAUCGCCACCAGGGGAACACGACGGCUGCCGAAGCAGAAGUUGAACUCUUCGUGGCACUGUUGGUUAACGAGAUAGGCACUGAAUGAACGUUUUCUUCGCAUCCUACAAAGAGGCGUAUGACGUUGACAUUUACGUUUAUCCUGCCGCCAUCGGCCAAGAUGGGAGAGUCCACUAGGCAUAAAUGAGUUAAAACACGCCGGGUAUGCGAAUACUUCGUUGACGGAUGGCACUUCACUAACAGAGAACAACAAACGCCACGCGCGAGAGGAUCUGAACCCAUGGAUAAGAAGACUCUUUCGAAGUAUAGGUGCUUCUAUUGUACAUCACCUACAUACAAAACAGAUGAAUAUUCGGAAAUUGUGGAGCAUUGUGUUAAAGGCCACAAGUGCCAGACUUUAAAAUACUAAACUAAUGUCCAACAACGAACCGUCGGCGGCAUUCAUAAGCUCCGAUUCACUC